Molecule: ribosomal RNA, 411 nt
Filed under: uncultured Acidaminococcus sp.
Lineage: Bacteria; Bacillati; Bacillota; Negativicutes; Acidaminococcales; Acidaminococcaceae
Description: bacterial SSU rRNA
Rfam family: Bacterial small subunit ribosomal RNA
Source: RNAcentral
UGGGGAAUCUUCCGCAAUGGGCGAAAGCCUGACGGAGCAACGCCGCGUGAGUGAUGACGGCCUUCGGUUGUAAAGCUCUGUGAUCGGGGACGAACGGUCAGCAGACGAAUACUCUGCUGAAGUGACGGUACCCGAAUAGCAAGCCACGGCUAACUACGUGCCAGCAGCCGCGGUAAUACGUAGGUGGCAAGCGUUGUCCGGAAUUAUUGGGCGUAAAGAGCAUGUAGGCGGGCUUUUAAGUCCGACGUGAAAAUGCGGGGCUUAACCCCGUAUGGCGUUGGAAACUGGGAGUCUUGAGUGCAGGAGAGGAAAGGGGAAUUCCCAGUGUAGCGGUGAAAUGCGUAGAUAUUGGGAGGAACACCAGUGGCGAAGGCGCCUUUCUGGACUGUGUCUGACGCUGAGAUGCGAAAG